This 229-nucleotide ribosomal RNA is filed under the name uncultured bacterium. Its description in RNAcentral is "partial 16S ribosomal RNA". It matches the Rfam family "Bacterial small subunit ribosomal RNA", at positions 568 to 796 of the family's 1533-position model. The record is from RNAcentral.
UGCGUAGGCGGAUUAAUAAGUCAGUGGUGAAAACCUGCAGCUUAACUGUAGACUUGCCAUUGAUACUGUUAGUCUUGAGUACGGUCAAGGUAGGCGGAAUGUGUAAUGUAGCGGUGAAAUGCUUAGAUAUUACACAGAACACCGAUUGCGAAGGCAGCUUACUGGGCCAUUACUAACGCUGAGGCACGAAAGCGUGGGGAGCGAACAGGAUUAGAUACCCUGGUAGUCC